GACGAACGCUGGCGGCGUGCUUAACACAUGCAAGUCGAGCGAAAAGACCACUUUGGGGGUACUCGAGUGGCGAACGGGGGAGUAACAGGAAAGUAACCUGACCUUGCCUUCGGGAUAAGUACAGGAAACUGGGGCUAAUGCCGGAAAGGAAUAAUAUCUGCAUGGUGGGGGUUGGAAAGCGUCGGCGGGUUUGGAUGUACUCGUGGCUUAUCGGCUUGUGGGUGGGGUAGUGGCUUACCGAGGCGUUGACGGGUAGCCAGCCUGAGGGGGCGACCGGCGACAUUGAGACCGAGGGAAGGCCCAGGCUCCUACGGGUGGCAGCAGUGGGGAAUAUUGACCGAUCAGCGGAAGCCGGAUGCAGAAACGCCGCGGGCGGGAUGACGGCCUUCUGGUUGUAAACCGCUUUCAGAAGGGGCGAAGCUUGUCGUGACGGUACCUGCAGAAGAAGCACCGGCUAACUACGUG
Molecule: ribosomal RNA, 465 nt
Filed under: uncultured bacterium
Lineage: Bacteria
Description: partial 16S ribosomal RNA
Rfam family: Bacterial small subunit ribosomal RNA
Source: RNAcentral